Molecule: long non-coding RNA, 449 nt
Filed under: Equus asinus (donkey)
Lineage: Eukaryota; Metazoa; Chordata; Mammalia; Perissodactyla; Equidae
Description: lncRNA (ENSEASG00005024971.1)
Source: RNAcentral
GGACAGUGGGGCGCCUCUCAAACUCGGGCCCCGGCGGCGUCCAGGGGUGCGGAGGAAUGCGUUACUGUCCCCGCUUAUGACUCCUGCCGUGGCAGGCAACUACUGUUUCACUUCCCUGAAGAAGCUCAUAAUAUUAUAAUUCAAGUGUCAGGACAGAUUAGGUUAAACGAACUGUGUAAUUCCCGAAGGAAAACAAACUUCAAAACGGACGCGGUUUGCCACGUAACAUGUCAUGGAUUGCAUUAGCGUCGCACGGGCAAUUCCAUCACCUAAUGUGCUAAAGUUGGCUCAAAUGUUCCCCACUCUGCAAGAAGCAGAUGAGUUCAUUACGAUUUCACCCUAAUAAAGAAAACCUGCUUGAUUUUGACAAGACAUCGACUUAUCUAAUCGUCUCCUAAAUAACAAAGCUGCUUCCCGCCCGUAAAACACUGCUCCCGAACACCGGCUUU